RNAcentral lists this unclassified non-coding RNA (310 nucleotides) under uncultured Ascomycota. RNAcentral's name for it is "sequence contains ITS1". The stretch from base 1 to 105 matches the Rfam family "5.8S ribosomal RNA", at positions 50 to 154 of the family's 154-position model. Lineage: Eukaryota; Fungi; Ascomycota. The record is from RNAcentral.
GAAAUGCGAUAAGUAAUGUGAAUUGCAGAAUUCAGUGAAUCAUCGAAUCUUUGAACGCACAUUGCGCCCGCCAGAAUUCUGGCGGGCAUGCCUGUUCGAGCGUCAUUUCAACCCUCGGUCUCCCUCCGGGAGAGACCGGCGUUGGGGACCGGCACUUACCCCGCCGGCCCCGAAAUGAAGUGGCGGCCCGUCCGCGGCGACCUCUGCGUAGUAACUCCACUCGCACCGGGACCCGGGCGCGGCCACGCCGUAAAACCCCCAACUUCCGAAUGUUGACCUCGAAUCAGGUAGGAAUACCCGCUGAACUUAA